UGGGAAUCUGCCCUUGGGUACGGAAUAACAGUUAGAAAUGACUGCUAAUACCGUAUAAUGACUUCGGUCCAAAGAUUUAUCGCCCAGGGAUGAGCCCGCGUAGGAUUAGCUUGUUGGUGAGGUAAAGGCUCACCAAGGCGACGAUCCUUAGCUGGUCUGAGAGGAUGAUCAGCCACACUGGGACUGAGACACGGCCCAGACUCCUACGGGAGGCAG
RNAcentral lists this ribosomal RNA (216 nucleotides) under uncultured bacterium. RNAcentral describes it as "partial 16S ribosomal RNA". It matches the Rfam family "Bacterial small subunit ribosomal RNA", at positions 118 to 351 of the family's 1533-position model. The record is from RNAcentral.